AAACAGCUGAAAGGAGGUGCUCUAGUGUCUAAUGGGAAACCGGAGAAUGGUCUUGGGACAGUUCGGGAGACUCGGAUUUAGGGCAGCCCCUAGUUUCGACAAACCACGGAUUGGUGCGCCCUAACCAGCCCACCUCCUAAAAUCUCGGGGGCCGUUCGACAGGAUCGAGCGGCCC
This 175-nucleotide unclassified non-coding RNA is filed under the name Lentibacter algarum. RNAcentral's name for it is "caulobacter sRNA CC2171". Lineage: Bacteria; Pseudomonadati; Pseudomonadota; Alphaproteobacteria; Rhodobacterales; Roseobacteraceae. The record is from RNAcentral.